CUAAAACCCUAUGAUGACUAUAUGAUUUUUUUUUUAUUUUUUCAUUGGAUAUACCGUGUACUCGUUUUUUUUUUGAUUUGAGAAAUCAAAGUUCAUUGUUUUCCAAUUUUGUGCCUUUGCUGUAUUGUGGAAAUUCAUGAAUUCUCUUAAAUCAUGGAAUAAUUUUUAAUUUUGGAUCUUCCUUAUUUCAACAACUAGACACCUAAAAAAAAGAUACUUAACUUUUAAAAAACCAUAAAAUAAUGCUUUUGAGCUUCAAGACAUUAUUUAGCAUUAGAUGAUUAGAAGCAGUAUGAGAUCGAAAUAUCCAUCAAACGCAUUUUUAUAUUUAUAUAGAUAUUUAUAUUGUUGAUUUAUGUGCAGACAAGCUUGCUUCUAAGAAGCAAAUUCAAGAUCAUGACUAGCUUUGUGAUUUAGAUACUUCAAUCACCACCUGACAGCAGGCCAGUUAUCUGGAACCAUGUGAGCAAAGUACAUAGUAGAACACAGAGAGUAUAAAGAUUGUUUUUGUAAAACUAAAUGAUCAUUUUGAUCAACAGUGAAUGAAAUAGUGCAGAUUUAUCAGCGUUGAUAUUGUUGCAUCAGUAGGACACUGAAUCAAUUGAUCACUAAAUAUCCAAUAUCUCUCAAAAUCUUUACAGACAUAGAUUUCUAACAUCAAGGAAAUCAAUGCAGAUUCCAUGCAACCUGAGUUGGAGAAAUACAACAAUUUACACCCUGUUUGGAUACAAAGUGGAGGAGAGGAAUGAAAGAAAAGAAACGAGAGAAGAGAAUAGAGUAAGAAAACUUUCGAUUGGGUAGAAGAGAAGGGAAGAGUAAAGAUCCCUGGACAUAAGAGAAAAAAGAGAAUAGAAAGGGGAGUUUUGUUUCUCUCCGAAUCUUUCUAAUAUUGGAGAGAUUAAAAGAGGGGGAGGGGGAGGUUGGAGAGAAGCCACUUCUCUCCAUUUCUUUUUUCUUUUCUCUCCUGGCUUGGCUAUCGGAAUGAGGAAAAAUGAGUUUCUCUUCUCUUCUCUCAUUAGAUUUCCAACCAAAUGAGGGAAAAUUAAUUUCUCUUUUCCUCUCUUAUAACCAAACAAGAGAUUUGUACUUUCUCUUCUCUUUUUCUCCUCUUUUUCUCCUCUCUUCUCUCCAAUUCUCUCAAUUGAAGCAGGGCAGUAAUGGAUGGAAGCUCUGAGAAAUUUGAAACAUAAAUGUAAGCAAUUUUUUCAUGCCAUCUGAUGCAGUAUAAAUAACUAAAGCUAGUGGAAACAUGUUCGCCUAAUUAUCAAGAAAUCUGGCUUCUGUUUGCAUAUAGUUCCUACUCUUGGAUAAGACACCAAGCAAUUAAGUAGAAUGAGUAGUUCUUAGAAUUCACAUUUUCCAGCUUUCAGUUCUCACACCAUAUACUUAGCACGAAUGCUAUGACAACUACCAUGAGGUAUGACAGCAUCAUGGGCUUCAACUCUAGCUUCUUUUGUUCUGUUGGCAUGAUCCUUACUCAAGCAAUUCGUCAAUAACAGAUAGCAGACCUGGUGCCUGCAUAAUUUUCUAUGUGUGCAUUUUGAAGAUUGUUUUUCCAUGGCCUCUAUAUCAUGUCUUCUUUCCAGAUACAAGUGACCAAGGGUAGCUAAUGUUUACUUUUAGAAUUAGAAUAUGCCAGAAUGUGGUCUGAGGAAAACCACGAAGAAAUGUUGCUGUUAAUUUAU
Molecule: long non-coding RNA, 1685 nt
Organism: Phoenix dactylifera (date palm)
Lineage: Eukaryota; Viridiplantae; Streptophyta; Magnoliopsida; Arecales; Arecaceae
Source: RefSeq, a predicted model, not a curated record